Non-coding RNA from Phascolarctos cinereus (koala), 370 nucleotides. The record is from RefSeq and is a predicted model, not a curated record. Lineage: Eukaryota; Metazoa; Chordata; Mammalia; Diprotodontia; Phascolarctidae.
CUGAUGAGAGAAAAAAUUGUGCUUCUCUUGUGCUGCUGUGACACACUGUCUUCCAAAAAAGAGAAAUGCAAGAGAACCUCGAGGGCAGUGCCAAGGCCACAAACUCAGGGAUGGGUGCACUGUGAUGGAAGUAAUAAGACACAUGCAUAGUGGCUCAAUCACUCUACUUGUAUUUGGAGAGGUUCAUCCACAAAAUGCAGGCUACAGCAACUCAUGAAACCAAGAUAUCUGGAGGGUGAAGAUUUACAUUUGUGGAGAUUAAAAAAAAAACACACUCCAUCAAUUGACACAGCUUGAUCCUUUGAGGCAUAGAUAUAAAAAUAUACUGCACCAACUGAUGCCCUUGAUCCUUCAAAAUAUUCUUAAAUCC